GUGCCGUUCAGUUUUCUAGCCGUCCGUAGCGUUCCCACUCCUUUGGAUUGUUCAAUCAUCAUUCCAAGCAACGUUGGUUACAGCACCCCCCAUGACCUCAUAAGGGACAAGCGGUAGAAAAUGGAUGGAUGGAUGCAUUAUUUACUUCAAGUUAUUACGGGACGAAGAAGCAUACCAAGUAUCACACACCUGGCACAAAGUCCCGCACACCCGACCCCGGCCGCUUGGUAGACAUUCAGGCGACAGGGGGUACCUUACCAGGGGACACCGCCAUACCACCACGUCACAGAUGAAGGCUGCGGAAGCAAGGUAGCCGAAACUUGUCAGAUACAUUCGUGAUGGCGUCAGUUCGCCGUGGUGCGUUCAAGGACACUUGGCAGUCCGACUUGUACGUCCCCACACGUACUGAGUGCUGGAAUAAAAGAUGUUCUCGGGGUAAAUUGGUUUCACCAAUUCCUCACCAAAACGUCACCUUGGAGUUGUUGAGUCCGUCCUUCUGUUUUGUUUGAUCAGCCGUUUUACUGCCUCGUUGCAAACACCAUUUGGAAACGAUUAAGG
Long non-coding RNA from Nerophis ophidion (straightnose pipefish), 558 nucleotides. RefSeq lists it as uncharacterized. The record is from RefSeq and is a predicted model, not a curated record. NCBI's taxonomy places the organism in Eukaryota, Metazoa, Chordata, Actinopteri, Syngnathiformes, Syngnathidae. The transcript is spliced from 5 exons.